AGAAGGGGUGUAACCAUUUCCUCAUGACAGAAGGAAUCAAAGGGGAAGUCGAACAACGCAUGGCCUUAUCAAUAUUGGUAUCAAUAACCUAAGACCUGCAAUUAAGAGAGCAAAGGGAAGGAGAGAAUAAGUUAAUGAGAGUGGAGGUGAAAUCAGUAUAACCAGUGUCACUGAAUGGAGCCACCUGAAAAAUCACAACUGCCAGAAAGCUUCCAGCUGCUAGAGGGAAACAGUCAUUUUGACAAUCAGUUUCUGGCUGAUGUUCUUGGUUUUGGGUGGUAGAAGAAUGUUCGCAGGAGUUGCAGGCCACUGUUAGAACUUCUGGC
Long non-coding RNA from Harpia harpyja (harpy eagle), 326 nucleotides. RefSeq lists it as uncharacterized. The record is from RefSeq and is a predicted model, not a curated record. The transcript is spliced from 3 exons. Lineage: Eukaryota; Metazoa; Chordata; Aves; Accipitriformes; Accipitridae.